GAUGAACGCUGGCGGCGUGCCUAAUACAUGCAAGUCGAGCGAAAAGACGAGGAGCUUGCUCCUCUGACGUUAGCGGCGGACGGGUGAGUAACACGUGGAUAACCUACCUAUAAGACUGGGAUAACUUCGGGAAACCGGAGCUAAUACCGGAUAAUAUAUUGAACCGCAUGGUUCAAUAGUGAAAGACGGUUUUGCUGUCACUUAUCGAUGGAUCCGCGCCGGAUUAGCUAGUUGGUAAGGUAACGGCUUACCAAGGCAACGAUGCGUAGCCGACCUGAGAGGGUGUUCGGCCACACAGGAACUGAGAGACGACCCAGGCUCCUACGUGAGGCAGCAGCAGGGAAUCGUCGGCAAAGGGCGAAAGCCUGACGGAGCAACGCAGCGCGAGUGAUGAAGGGCUUCGGAUCGUAAAACGCUGUUAUUAGUGAAGAACAAAUGUGUAAGUAACGAUGCACGUCUGGAGGGUACCGAAACAGAAAGCCACGGCAAACUACGG
Molecule: ribosomal RNA, 496 nt
Filed under: uncultured bacterium
Lineage: Bacteria
Description: partial 16S ribosomal RNA
Rfam family: Bacterial small subunit ribosomal RNA
Source: RNAcentral